CUGUGAAAACCCCUAAAUCUGGCUGUUCCUGUUUGGAAGCAGAUGCUGCACUGGUUCAGUCCCAGUGGGCUUUGAUUCUAUUUGAACUGAGCAAAGCUGGCUAUCGUUUGAGUGAUCUUCAGAUAAGCUCUGGGAAAUCAGGCAAGAAUAGUGUUUCGGAUUAUUGAGAAAGACAAAGAAAUUGCUUGAUGUCAGCUUGUUGACGAUGGGCAGACCCUUACUUCUCCUUUCUUCUCCUCCUCAUAAAUGGAACAAGAGAGGUGGUCUUCUGAUUCUCUUUGUGCCCUGGCAAAGGAAAAGGUAGAGAAGAAGGGAGUAAGUGUCAGCUCAGUAAAGCAGAGUGCAAGAGCAAAAAGAAAAAGAGAGAAGAAUCGAGAGAGAAAACAGUCAACAAUAA
Molecule: long non-coding RNA, 397 nt
Filed under: Phasianus colchicus (ring-necked pheasant)
Lineage: Eukaryota; Metazoa; Chordata; Aves; Galliformes; Phasianidae
Description: lncRNA (ENSPCLG00000002231.1)
Source: RNAcentral